UACGGAGGGUGCGAGCGUUGUCCGGAAUCACUGGGCGUAAAGGGCGCGUAGGCGGCUUGGUAAGUCUGUGGUGAAAGCUCGUGGCUCAACUGCGAGUCGGCCAUAGAUACUCCUAAGCUCGAGUCGACUAGAGGCAGAUGGAAUUCCGGGUGUAGCGGUGGAAUGCGUAGAGAUCCGGAAGAACACCGGUGGCGAAGGCGGUCUGCUGGGGUCGAACUGACGCUGAGGCGCGACAGCGUGGGGAGCAAACAGG
RNAcentral lists this ribosomal RNA (253 nucleotides) under uncultured bacterium. RNAcentral describes it as "partial 16S ribosomal RNA". It matches the Rfam family "Bacterial small subunit ribosomal RNA", at positions 524 to 776 of the family's 1533-position model. The record is from RNAcentral.